Molecule: long non-coding RNA, 1221 nt
Organism: Falco peregrinus (peregrine falcon)
Lineage: Eukaryota; Metazoa; Chordata; Aves; Falconiformes; Falconidae
Exons: 3
Source: RefSeq, a predicted model, not a curated record
CGACAGCAGGAAGAUCACCUUCCUGGAAGUUACAAGACACAGGCUUAGAAAAAGCUCACGUUCUCUCUAAAGAAUGAGAAAGAUGACUGCAUGAUCAGAAGAAAUCACCUCAAAAAGCACAUGGGCUUGGCUUAGGUAAGAUGCAUGGCUACACCAUGACCUGGACAGACAUCUUAAGUGAAUUCCAGCACUUCCAAACAAGUCUACAAUGGAAAUUUCUGUUUCAUCUGCUCCUGGAAACAGUUAUCAGCAUGGUUUAUAUGCAUAAACCACCAGAUAAAAGACUCCUGAAGACCCUCUCAUUCUUCAGGUAAAAAAAUAAAUCAUAAGAAAGUGCAGUAAUACCUCCAAGAAUCUGAGUUCAGAUCCUAUGAUUCAACGAUUAAUUCACACUUUUCUGCUCCUCAACUGCUUAUGCUUAGUCUGUAUGCAUGGAUAGCCCUCAUGGAUGUGGCUGGAGUCAAUACACAACAAAUGCUUAACCAACUAAUCAACCAAUCAAUUAACAAUCAAUAAACACUUAAUUGCCAAAAGAAGCAAGGUCCUUUAAAGCUUGGAAGCCAUUUUUCAUCUGAUGAAGGCCACCAACACUGUGGACCCCCAAGUGUGGUACAGAGACCGGAGAAAGAAUAAAAAAGUUACACCCAAAUAACCCCUAGCCACAAGUGAAACUAAGUGCACUUAUAAUUUAAACUCCCCAUGGUAUGCAGUUUCGGGGUACAUAUUUUAAUUCUUGCUUUACUUCACAUCACAACCUUUUGACAAACACUUUAUGCAGUAUUUAAAAAGGGAAAUGGGUUAUCUGAACAGUGUCAGAACACAAUAGCUGAUACUUACAAUAUUUUAGCCCUGCUGCUCAGUCUGUACAAAUCCUGAUGAAGUUAAUCCUGUUGAUGCAAAGUGAGCAGCUCACGUAAAUCUGCCAGGGACCUCUAUCACUGAGCUGCAAGAGUUCAGAGCACGUGAGCAAAAUCACUCUCCGAAGUAAUGGAGCUUGAGCAUUACAAUCAAAUAAUCACACUCAGGCUUCUUUCAUUUCUUUUCAGCACAUACUGCCAAUUGGUCAUCCUGUGGGGAAAGAUUAGGAUGUGUUCUGUAAUGACAUUGAAAAUGUACAUUAACAAUUAAUGCAAUUCAUUAUCACACUAUUUUAAAAAUGAAUGCAAAUUGUUUUUUGAAUGGUAUCCAAGCCAAUUUGAUUUAGAGUAACUGCUUGCAGCA